CUUGUAAGAGCCCAGCACAGCACAGAUUUACAAAAUGAUACACAAAGACCUCAGAGCCCAAGUUUCCAGCCUGAUGUUCUGCCUUGUGGAUUUCAGAUUUGCCAAGCCCCACAAUUACAUAAUGAAAUUCCUUAAAGAAGCGAACUUUUGCUAUUGCACAGACCUGCUGCCUCCAGAGCGCCACGCCACUGAUUGUUUUCCUUGUUUCGUGGAAGGAAGACAAAACUUGUUCCAGCUCAACAAGGCUUCCUAUAUCUUUUGCCCCAUCAGUUUGUAAUUGUCCCCAAAUUCCAAUAUCUAAAACAUAAGAUCAAUAUUUUAUAAAGUGCCAUUUUAGUUAUGCAUUAUUUAGCUUUUCCUAUGAUAAAUUUUCCUACAAAGGUGUCAAAGUUACCCUCUUGGGCCAAGAUACAAGUAAUCUAAUGUAUGACAUUAUUAGAGCAACUAUUGAAGAAAUGGGAAAGAAGCAGAAAGUAUUGAUACAAUAAAAGAAAAUCUUGUGUUUUCUGAUUUUAAA
RNAcentral lists this non-coding RNA (517 nucleotides) under Pan troglodytes (chimpanzee). Lineage: Eukaryota; Metazoa; Chordata; Mammalia; Primates; Hominidae. The record is from RNAcentral.